RNAcentral lists this ribosomal RNA (424 nucleotides) under uncultured bacterium. Its description in RNAcentral is "bacterial SSU rRNA". It matches the Rfam family "Bacterial small subunit ribosomal RNA", at positions 29 to 498 of the family's 1533-position model. The record is from RNAcentral.
AACGAACGCUGGCGGCAUGCCUAACACAUGCAAGUCGAACGAAGUCUUCGGACUUAGUGGCGCACGGGUGCGUAACGCGUGGGAAUCUGCCCUUGGGUGCGGAAUAACUUCUCGAAAGGGAUGCUAAUACCGCAUAAUGUCGUAAGACCAAAGAUUUAUCGCCCAAGGAUGAGCCCGCGUAAGAUUAGCUAGUUGGUGGGGUAAAAGCCUACCAAGGCGACGAUCUUUAGCUGGUCUGAGAGGAUGAUCAGCCACACUGGGACUGAGACACGGCCCAGACUCCUACGGGAGGCAGCAGUGGGGAAUAUUGGACAAUGGGCGAAAGCCUGAUCCAGCAAUGCCGCGUGAGUGAUGAAGGCCCUAGGGUUGUAAAGCUCUUUUACCAGGGAUGAUAAUGACAGUACCUGGAGAAUAAGCUCCGGCU